AUGGCUCAGGAUGAACGCUAGCGACAGGCCUAACACAUGCAAGUCGAGGGGCAGCACAAGGAGCAAUCUGAGGUGGCGACCGGCGCACGGGUGAGUAACACGUAUGCAACCUGCCUGUAAGCGGGGAAUAACCCGUUGAAAGACGGACUAAUACCGCAUAAUACUAAAUUACUGCAUGGUAAUUUAUUUAAACAUUUAUGGCUUACAGAUGGGCAUGCGCAUGAUUAGCUAGUUGGAGAGGUAACGGCUCCCCAAGGCAACGAUCAUUAGGGGUUCCGAGAGGAAGGUCCCCCACACUGGUACUGAGACACGGACCAGACUCCUACGGGAGGCAGCAGUGAGGAAUAUUGGUCAAUGGACGAGAGUCUGAACCAGCCAAGUCGCGUGCAGGAAGAAUUGUCCUAUGGAUUGUAAACUGCUUUUGCAGGGGAAUAAAGUGCAUCACGUGUGAUGUUUUGUAUGUACUCUGCGAAUAAGGAUCGGCUAACUCCGUGCCAGCCGCCGC
RNAcentral lists this ribosomal RNA (505 nucleotides) under uncultured bacterium. RNAcentral describes it as "bacterial SSU rRNA". It matches the Rfam family "Bacterial small subunit ribosomal RNA", at positions 19 to 518 of the family's 1533-position model. The record is from RNAcentral.